RNAcentral lists this long non-coding RNA (547 nucleotides) under Ananas comosus (pineapple). RNAcentral's name for it is "long non-coding RNA (ACOM_LNC000871)". Lineage: Eukaryota; Viridiplantae; Streptophyta; Magnoliopsida; Poales; Bromeliaceae. The record is from RNAcentral.
UUUAGCUUUCUUUUGUUCAUUUGUACAUAAUUCUCCUUCUGUAAAAAAACAUACAAAACUUAUCUGAAUAAUAGAUCGUUUUAAAUUUGCUACCCAACCAUUUAGAACUUUGAUUUUACUAUCAAAUCUUUCAAUUUGUUUGAUUUGAGUUAGUCAGCGGCAUUUUGACUUCAAAAUUGAAUGCGUCCUUUAUCUUUACAAGUUUAGUUAAUUAAUAUACUUUAUCCAAUUCUCGCAACUAUAAAUUCACUUAAGUAAGUGAUGAUUAAUUUAACUUUUGAAGUCAAAAUACUAUUUGCUGACUUAAUUGAAAUGUUGGGUAAACUAUGGACUAUUUUGAUUUGGCUAUCGAACCUUUCAAAAUUUAGAUUUACCAUCCAACCUUUCAAUUUGUUUGAUUUGAGUCAGUCAGCGGCACUUUGACUUUAAAAUUUGAAUGCGUCGUUUAUCUUUACAGGUUUAGUUAAUUUCAUGGAAUUCUCGCGCGCAACGAUAAAUUCACUAAAAUAAGUAAUAAUUAACUUAAACUUUGAAGUCGAAGUACCGU